UCCUCAUAGCUCAGUUGGUAAAGAAUCUGCCUGCAAUGCAGAUGAGACCUGGGUUCAAUUCCUGGGUCAGGAA
This 73-nucleotide transfer RNA is filed under the name Capra hircus (goat). It matches the Rfam family "tRNA". Rfam says of the family: Transfer RNA (tRNA) molecules are approximately 80 nucleotides in length. RNAcentral also lists the same sequence under 1 other name. Lineage: Eukaryota; Metazoa; Chordata; Mammalia; Artiodactyla; Bovidae. The record is from Rfam by way of RNAcentral.